AUUGAACGCUGGCGGCAUGAUUUACACAUGCAAGUCGAACGGUAACAGGCCGCAAGGUGCUGACGAGUGGCGAACGGGUGAGUAAUGCAUCGGAACGUGCCCAGUCGUGGGGGAUAACUACUCGAAAGAGUAGCUAAUACCGCAUACGAUCUAUGGAUGAAAGCGGGGGACCGUAAGGCCUCGCGCGAUUGGAGCGGCCGAUGUCAGAUUAGGUAGUUGGUGGGGUAAAGGCUCACCAAGCCAACGAUCUGUAGCUGGUCUGAGAGGACGACCAGCCACACUGGGACUGAGACACGGCCCAGACUCCUACGGGAGGCAGCAGUGGGGAAUUUUGGACAAUGGGCGCAAGCCUGAUCCAGCAAUGCCGCGUGCAGGAAGAAGGCCUUCGGGUUGUAAACUGCUUUUGUACGGAACGAAACGGCUCUGGUUAAUACCCGGGGCUAAUGACGGUACCGUAAGAAUAAGCACCGGCUAACUACGUGC
RNAcentral lists this ribosomal RNA (483 nucleotides) under uncultured bacterium. RNAcentral describes it as "partial 16S ribosomal RNA". It matches the Rfam family "Bacterial small subunit ribosomal RNA", at positions 30 to 508 of the family's 1533-position model. The record is from RNAcentral.